GGGUUGCUAUAUUAAUAAGAAAAAACAAGGGAAUAGAAGGGGAACUUAUCUACGAUGAUAAAAAAGGGAAAUGUAUAGGGGUGAGAAUUAAAUAUGGAAAUGAGGAAUUUAAUUUAAUCAACCUUCAUGCGCCGAAUGAAGAAAAAGAAAAGUCUUUGUUUUUUAAUGAUUUAAGAGAAUUGAUAGAAGGAUGGGGGAAAAUAAUAAUGGCAGGUGAUUUUAAUACGGUUUUUAGUAGGAGAGAUAUGGCGGACGGAAUGGUUUUUAAGUCAGACAAAGGGAGAAAAGAAUUAAGGGGUUUGAUGGAGGGGAAAAAUAUAAUAGAUGUAUGUGUAACGGUAUCAGGUGAUUGACAGCAGUGUCAUCCUAUCAGCAAGUAGUACCUUGCAUUUAAGUCUGAUUGGCUGUUACCUGGGAUGCGUCAUGUCCGAUUUCCCCGUUUGUUUUGCUAGCGUCGACGGUGGUUGUAGUGCAGCUUUGGUGCGGUGCCCUCCGUGCUGCUUAGUGGGUCUGAUGACUGUUCACCUCACAGGUAACGUUUAUUGUUAAGAGCUCGUGAUAUGGUGCUGAAAUGGCUGUGUGGGUUUAACAUUCUUUCGGAUAUCAAAUAGGCGUGAUUCCCUGUAUUCCCUUGUGUAACUGGUGGGCAUGACUGACCAAUCCGUGUUUAAGCGUGCUUUCUAGCGUGAUCUCCUGAUGGAUUCUCCUUCUCGUUCUAUGCCGUGAUUGUUGCUACUGUCUUCACACUAUUAAAGUGCUGCGGUUAAUACGGCCGCGUUGACGCGAUCAUCACUAAAGAGACGGGGACUGCUCGUUUGGUUCUUAUCGUGGCGUUAUAUUUGACCCUGGAUUGUGUGGGGGACUAUUUGGUUCCUUCCACUUGUAGGGGAGUUAGCUGCCCUUUGUGUCUUUGUUUGAUUUGAAACCUUUUUUUUGUUUAUUUUCUGUUAACUAACCUCUAAUUUUUGGAAGUAUAGUUUGUUUGGUUACCUUGAUUUUUAUUUCAUCUUUAUUUAUGUAAAGCCAAUUAAACGGCGUGUAAUAUUUAAUUAAGCCAUUUAAUUGCUUGGUUCAUGUGAUCAACCAUCUAUAAGUACAAUUUUAUUUGUGUGUGAACCUCUAUUGAGCUAAAAUUGUCUUGUAUUAUUUAGGUGACCAACUAAUUGAUGUUCCUGCGCUUGAAUGGUUUUUCUUUAUUUUCGUCAUUUACAUAUAUUGUUGUGAGGAUUUGCUUUAUUGAUGUCCAUCUGGUUAUUUUUUCUUUAUGAACAUUGUUAUAGUUUCUUAUCUUUAUUUUGCAGGCGCUGGGGUCCAACGGGUGGAUUGCUCUUCCUCCUCCUGGUGGUGGUCGUCCUUUAUCGUGUGCAGUGUACACUGUUGAGUGUGUGAUUGUGUGAUUAAGUGACACGGGGUGUGUGUGCGUGUAGAAGUGUUCCUGCCGUUGGGAGCCCCAGGCCUGCUGGUAUUUAUUUUCUGUUUUUGCAUGUUUUUCUUAUUGUUUAGUUUAAAGUGGGUUUCAGUGUCCAACAUUUUAAAGUGUUUUUCUAUUAAUAAACAUUUGUAUUUUUGUAUUA
Long non-coding RNA from Cyprinus carpio (common carp), 1574 nucleotides. RefSeq lists it as uncharacterized. NCBI's taxonomy places the organism in Eukaryota, Metazoa, Chordata, Actinopteri, Cypriniformes, Cyprinidae. The record is from RefSeq and is a predicted model, not a curated record. The transcript is spliced from 3 exons.